This 253-nucleotide ribosomal RNA is filed under the name uncultured bacterium. RNAcentral's name for it is "partial 16S ribosomal RNA". It matches the Rfam family "Bacterial small subunit ribosomal RNA", at positions 524 to 776 of the family's 1533-position model. The record is from RNAcentral.
UACGUAGGGGGCUAGCGUUGUCCGGAAUCAUUGGGCGUAAAGAGCGUGUAGGCGGCCCGGUAAGUCCGCUGUGAAAGUCGGGGGCUCAACCCUCGAAUGCCGGUGGAUACUGUCGGGCUAGAGUGCGGAAGAGGCGAGUGGAAUUCCUGGUGUAGCGGUGAAAUGCGCAGAUAUCAGGAGGAACACCGAUGGCGAAGGCAGCUCACUGGGACGGUACUGACGCUGAGGCGCGAAAGCGUGGGGAGCAAACAGG